UACGUAGGGUGCUAGCGUUGUCCGGAUUUAUUGGGCGUAAAGAGCUCGUAGGCGGUGUGUCACGUCGAUCGUGAAAACUUACAGCUUAACUGUGAGCGUGCGGUCGAUACGGGCAUCACUGGAGUUCGGCAGGGGAGACUGGAAUUCCUGGUGUAGCGGUGAAAUGCGCAGAUAUCAGGAGGAACACCGGUGGCGAAGGCGGGUCUCUGGGCCGAUACUGACGCUGAGGAGCGAAAGCGUGGGGAGCGAACAGG
RNAcentral lists this ribosomal RNA (254 nucleotides) under uncultured bacterium. RNAcentral describes it as "partial 16S ribosomal RNA". It matches the Rfam family "Bacterial small subunit ribosomal RNA", at positions 524 to 776 of the family's 1533-position model. The record is from RNAcentral.